AGGGCCCAUAAAUUCAAGGUAUGUUAGCUAUCGUUUCUCAAUUGACCCCUUGUCUUCGAUAAGCGCGUGUCUUUUAGAGUUUAAACAUUGCGCAUGCUGUUGGGUCCUGAAAGCAACGAACGUGACCGCAACGUCUUAUUGCCUUUAUCUUGUUAUAUUCUAAUUUAAUUAGAAAUAACUAACAGAGGCUAAUUUAAAAUUAGACGGACCGCUGUACUUUUCUUAAACCAGAGGAAGGUUGCGGCAAUAACAGGUCUGUGAUGCCCUUAGAUGCCCGGACCGCCACCUUCCUCUGGUGGUUUAAGAGUAGUACAGCG
RNAcentral lists this ribosomal RNA (317 nucleotides) under Neogloboquadrina dutertrei. RNAcentral describes it as "partial 18S ribosomal RNA". Lineage: Eukaryota; Foraminifera; Rotaliida; Globorotaliidae. The record is from RNAcentral.